CCAACGGCCCUCUUUAGGGCCACAAACAUGAAUAAUCCUACUCAUU
Non-coding RNA from Caenorhabditis brenneri, 46 nucleotides. Lineage: Eukaryota; Metazoa; Nematoda; Chromadorea; Rhabditida; Rhabditidae. The record is from Rfam.